GGUGGAGCGGUACAGGCCUUGACCCCAAAGGCGAGGCCUUUCUGCGACUGCCAGGUUGGGGAGCUCCGAGAAUGUGCCAACAGACGGCAGAAUACGUGGUUCCCUGCUCCACAAAAAACAAGUAUACUUGACAGCUAAGGACAGCCAUUAGAAAGAAGAGGUACUAGAAGCUAUACAAGUUUGUACUGAGGAUACAAGCCACUUACUGGAACUUAACCUCUCUGGGAGCCUUAUAAAAUGAGUGCAAACAAUAUAUCAUGCAUGCUAAGUCACUUCAGUCAUGUCCAACUCUUUGCAACCCUAUGGACUAUAGCCCUCCAAGCUCCCCUAUACACAGGAUUCUCCAGAAACUCCUUUACGAACCUUCUCCUUUCUCUUCCUGCCACUCAUCUGAGAGAGGUUCUCCAGGCCAGUCCUGGAAAAUUCCAGGACAAGGGGACCACUCGCAGAAUCCAGGUUGUCCCAGUGCAGCGGCUUUGAGUGCCCUGUUUCAUGCAUCGAACUUGGACCGGUCAUCCACUUCACAUGUGGCUUUUUAGUUGCACUGCACUGGCUCAGUUGCCCUGGGGCUUGUGCCCUCUUACUUCCCCAUCCAGGGAUGGAACCCAUAUCCCCUGUAUUGCAAGGUGAAUUCUUAACUACUGGAUCGCCAGCAAAGUCCCAGAAACUUGCAGUUUCUCUAAAGGUACUGAGAUGUGUCCUGGAGAACAUGGUGGAUCUGCAGAGCAGACAGACUCACCCAGGAUCUUCACCUCACCUGAGUCUGGAGUGGAGAGGGAAGAGGAGAAAGACAAUUGCCAAAUCAUGGUAUUGAGUGGAUUAUCACCCCUGCGCUGUGGAGGAAUGGAUUAAUGUCUGAGGUGCAGCAAAAAGAGAACACUGCCUUCCUCACAAGCAAAGUGGGCAAAGGCUGCAGCUGGAUGGCAGGACUUUCAGCCUAGAGGGGCCACUGCAUAUGACGCCAGAGGACCCCCGCCUUAGUGGCCCUCCCCACACUGCCUCCUGUCACACUGAGGGAAGGAGAAGCUUGGCAGGAAGACCUCUAGCUCUGAUUUGCAGACCUGGCAGAGCUAACCCAAAGGUCCAGGAGCUUUUAUCUUCUCCCAGAACUUUGACUCCUCAGAAUCAAUAAAG
Molecule: long non-coding RNA, 1134 nt
Organism: Bos taurus (domestic cattle)
Lineage: Eukaryota; Metazoa; Chordata; Mammalia; Artiodactyla; Bovidae
Source: Ensembl